RNAcentral lists this ribosomal RNA (497 nucleotides) under uncultured bacterium. RNAcentral's name for it is "partial 16S ribosomal RNA". It matches the Rfam family "Bacterial small subunit ribosomal RNA", at positions 28 to 507 of the family's 1533-position model. The record is from RNAcentral.
GAUGAACGCUGGCGGCGUGCCUAAUACAUGCCAGUCGAGCGAACAGACGAGGAGCUUGCUCCUCUGACGUUAGCGGCGGACGGGUGAGUAACACGUGGAUAACCUACCUAUAAGACUGGGGUAACUUCGGGAAACCGGAGCUAAUACCGGAUAAUAUAUUGAACCGCAUGGUUCAAUAGUGAAAGACGGUUUUGCUGUCACUUAUAGAUGGAUCCGCGCCGCAUUAGCUAGUUGGUAAGGUAACGGCUUACCAAGGCAACGAUGCGUAGCCGACCUGAGAGGGUGAUCGGCCACACUGGAACUGAGACACGGUCCAGACUCCUACGGGAGGCAGCAGUAGGGAAUCUUCCGCAAUGGGCGAAAGCCUGACGGAGCAACGCCGCGUGAGUGAUGAAGGUCUUCGGAUCGUAAAACUCUGUUAUUAGGGAAGAACAAAUGUGUAAGUAACUAUGCACGUCUUGACGGUACCUAAUCAGAAAGCCACGGCUAACUACGUG